UGGGGAAUAUUCCGCAAUGGACGAGAGUCUGACGGAGCAACGCCGCGUGAGUGAUGAAGGUUUUCGGACUGUAAAACUCUGUUGUUUAGGACGAAAGUGCCUGUUGCAAAUAGUUGCAGGUAUUGACGGUACUGAACGAGGAAGCCACGGCUAACUACGUGCCAGCAGCCGCGGUAAUACGUAGGUGGCAAGCGUUGUCCGGAAUUAUUGGGCGUAAAGAGCAUGUAGGCGGAAAUUUAAGUCUGUUGUGAAAAUGCGGGGCUCAACCCCGUAUUGCGAUGGAAACUGGGUUUCUUGAGUGCAGGAGAGGAAAGGGGAAUUCCCAGUGUAGCGGUGAAAUGCGUAGAUAUCGGGAGGAACACCAGUGGCGAAGGCGGCUAACUGGACUGUAACUGACGCUGAGGCGCGAAAGCGUGGGGAGCAAACA
RNAcentral lists this ribosomal RNA (427 nucleotides) under uncultured prokaryote. RNAcentral's name for it is "bacterial SSU rRNA". It matches the Rfam family "Bacterial small subunit ribosomal RNA", at positions 355 to 774 of the family's 1533-position model. The record is from RNAcentral.